GACGAACGCUGGCGGCGUGCUUAACACAUGCAAGUCGAACGGAAAGGCCCUGCUUUUGUGGGGUGCUCGAGUGGCGAACGGGUGAGUAACACGUGAGUAACCUGCCCUUGACUUUGGGAUAACUUCAGGAAACUGGGGCUAAUACCGGAUAGGAGCUCCUGCUGCAUGGUGGGGGUUGGAAAGUUUCGGCGGUUGGGGAUGGACUCGCGGCUUAUCAGCUUGUUGGUGGGGUAGUGGCUUACCAAGGCUUUGACGGGUAGCCGGCCUGAGAGGGUGACCGGCGACAUUGGGACUGAGAUACGGCCCAGACUCCUACGGGAGGCAGCAGUGGGGAAUAUUGCACAAUGGGCGGAAGCCUGAAGCAGCAACGCCGCGUGCGGGAUGACGGCCUUCGGGUUGUAAACCGCUUUCGCCUGUGACGAAGCGUGAGUGACGGUAAUGGGUAAAGAAGCACCGGCUAACUACGUG
RNAcentral lists this ribosomal RNA (468 nucleotides) under uncultured bacterium. RNAcentral's name for it is "partial 16S ribosomal RNA". It matches the Rfam family "Bacterial small subunit ribosomal RNA", at positions 28 to 507 of the family's 1533-position model. The record is from RNAcentral.